Molecule: RNA transcript, 2884 nt
Organism: Tupaia belangeri chinensis (Chinese tree shrew)
Lineage: Eukaryota; Metazoa; Chordata; Mammalia; Scandentia; Tupaiidae
Gene: EXOSC10
Gene name: exosome component 10
Exons: 27
Source: RefSeq, a predicted model, not a curated record
AAGAGCCGUGCUGGCCGGAAAAAUGGCGCCUCCCAGUCCCCGGGAACCCAAGACCCCGCCGGCGACCAGCGUGGCCAAGUCUGAUGGAGAAAUGGUGCUGCCGGGCUUCCCGGACGCAGACAGCUUCGUGAAGUUCGCCCUGGGGGCAGUGCUGGCAGUCACCAAGGCAUCUGGGGGCCUACCGCAGUCUGGCGAUGAGUAUGAUUUUUAUCGAAGUUUUCCUGGCUUCCAGGCGUUUUGUGAAACACAGGGAGACAGGUUGUUGCAAUGCAUGAGUAGGGUAAUGCAGUACCAUGGGUGUCGCAGCAAUAUUAAGGAUCGAAGUAAAGUAACAGAGUUGGAGGACAAGUUUGAUUUACUGGUUGAUACCAAUGAUGUUAUUCUGGAGAGAGUGGGUAUUCUAUUAGAUGAAGCAUCAGGUGUGAAUAAGAACCAACAGCCUGUCCUCCCGGCAGGAUUGCAGGUCCCUAAAACAAUAGUGUCCAGCUGGAACCGAAAGGCAGGAGAAUAUGGCAAAAAAGCAAAAUCUGAAACUUUCCGACUGCUUCAUGCAAAAAACAUCGUCCGACCUCAGCUCAAGUUCCGAGAGAAGAUUGACAAUUCCAACACUCCAUUUCUUCCUAAAAUCUUCAUCAAGCCCAAUGCUCAGAAGCCCCUCCCUCAUGCUCUCUCUAAAGAAAGACGAGAACGCCCACAGGAUCGUCCUGAGGAUUUGGAUGUCCCCCCUGCCCUGGCGGAUUUCAUCCAUCAGCAGAGAACUCAGCAGGUCGAGCAGGACAUGUUUGCACAUCCGUAUCAAUAUGAGCUAGAUCACUUUAUUCCACCAGACUCGGUGCUUCAAAGGCCACAUCCCCAGAUAUAUAGACCUGUAGAAGAAACGCCCUGCCAUUUUGUGUCCUCCCUGGAUGAACUUGUAGAACUCAACGAAAAGCUCUUGAGUUGUCGAGAAUUUGCUGUAGACUUGGAGCACCACUCUUACAGGAGCUUCCUGGGACUAACCUGCCUCAUGCAAAUUUCCACCCGGACAGAAGACUUCAUCAUUGACACCCUCGAGCUUCGGAGUGACAUGUACAUUCUCAAUGAAAGCUUCACAGACCCAGCUAUUGUUAAGGUCUUCCAUGGUGCUGAUUCAGACAUCGAAUGGCUACAGAAAGACUUUGGGUUGUAUGUGGUAAACAUGUUUGAUACCCAUCAGGCAGCCCGCCUUCUUAAUCUGGGCAGGCACUCCCUGGAUCAUCUGCUGAAACUCUACUGCAGUGUGGAAUCUAACAAGCAGUAUCAGCUCGCUGACUGGAGAAUACGCCCUCUUCCUGAGGAGAUGCUCAGCUAUGCCCGAGAUGACACCCAUUACCUGCUUUACAUCUAUGAUAAAAUGAGGCUGGAGCUGUGGGAGCGAGGCGGCAACCAGCCCGUUCAGCUGCAGGUGGUGUGGCAGCGGAGCAGGGACAUCUGCCUGAAGAAAUUCCUCAAGCCCAUCUUCACUGAUGAGUCCUACCUUGAACUCUAUAGGAAGCAAAAGAAGCAUCUCAACACGCAGCAGCUGACAGCCUUUCAGCUGCUGUUUGCCUGGAGAGAUAAGACAGCUCGAAGGGAAGAUGAAAGUUAUGGAUACGUGCUGCCAAACCAUAUGAUGCUAAAGAUAGCCGAAGAACUGCCUAAGGAACCACAAGGCAUCAUAGCUUGCUGCAACCCAGUACCUCCCCUCGUACGGCAGCAGAUCAAUGAAAUGCAUCUUUUAAUCCAGCAGGCUCGAGAGAUGCCCCUGCUCAAGUCUGAAGUCGCAGCUGGCGUGAAGAAGAGCGGACCCCUGCCCAGUUCCGAGAGAUUGGAGAACAUUCUCUUUGGACCUCAUGACUGCUCCCAUGCCCCUUCAGAUGGCUGUCCAGUCAUCCCAGCCAGUGGAUCUGUGCCAGUUCAGAAACAGACGAGUCUCUUCCCUGACCAGAAGGAAGAGACAUUGCUGGAUACCGGAUGCCUUAUUGCUACUGCCGUCAUCACAUUAUUCAGUGAACCUAAUGUUGAAGAAAAUGAAAAGGGUCCAUUAACAGUUGCACAGAAAAAAGCACAGAACAUAAUGGAGUCUUUCGAAAAUCCAUUUAGGAUGUUUCUGCCAUCACAAGAACACCGUGCUCAUAUCUCUCAGGCCGCAAAGUUUGAUCCAUCAUCGAAAAUCUAUGAAAUCAGCAAUCAUUGGAAGUUGGCAAACCAGGUACAAGUACAGAAAGAAUCUAAGGAAGCUGCCAGGAAGGAGGCAGCUGAGAAAACAGGUACUGCUCACUCCCUUGGAAACUCAGCUGCCCAAGAACAGGCAAAGGAAGAGUACAGAGCCACAGCGGAGCAGGCCGUCUCUGUCCGACAGCAGGCUGCGCUAGAAAAUGCUGCUAAGAAAAGAGAGCGAGCAACAAGUGACCCAAGGACCACAGAGCAGAAACAAGAGAAAAAACGACUUAGAAUUUCCAAGAAGCCAAAGGACCCAGCUCCACCAGAAAAAGACUUCACCCCUUAUGACUACAGCCAGUCGGACUUCAAGGCUUUUGCUGGAAACAAGACCAAACCAUCUUCCCAGUUUGAUCCAAAUAAGCAGACCCAGUCUAGCAAGAAAUGUAUCGCAGCCAAAAAACUCAAGCAGUCAGUGGGAAGCAAAAGCAUGUCCUUUCCCACUGGAAAGUCAGACAGAGGCUUCAGGUUCAACUGGCCAAAGAGAUAGUGUUGGAAGAGAUCCUUGAGGCACCAAUGGACCGGAAGCACCAAGUGGCAGUGCUGGUUUUCUCUGGCAGGGGAGGACAGAACCCAUCCUGUUCAGUUACCAUCUUUGGCUGCCGUGGGCAGAGGAGAGCUGAAGGCGUCAUCUGCAUCUGAGGACGCGUGUGCUGGAGCAGCUCUG